RNAcentral lists this ribosomal RNA (339 nucleotides) under uncultured bacterium. RNAcentral's name for it is "bacterial SSU rRNA". It matches the Rfam family "Bacterial small subunit ribosomal RNA", at positions 29 to 345 of the family's 1533-position model. The record is from RNAcentral.
AGCGAACGCUGGCGGCGUGCCUAACACAUGCAAGUCGAGCGCGGGCAUUUCGGGGGUAACCCCGGGAUGUGCUGAGCGGCGGACGAGUGAGUAAUACGUGGACAACCUGCCUUAAAGCUUGGGAUAACUCCGGGAAACUGGAGCUAAUACCGGAUAAGACCACGGUGUCUAUGGAUGCUGAGGUAAAAGGCGGCCAGGAAACUGGCUGUUGCUUAAAGAUGGGUCCACGUCCCAUCAGGUAGUUGGUGAGGUAAAGGCUCACCAAGCCAAAGACGGGUAGCUGGCCUUAGCGGGUGGUCAGCCACACGGGGACUGAGACACGGCCCCGACUCCUACGGG